Long non-coding RNA from Arabidopsis lyrata subsp. lyrata, 755 nucleotides. RefSeq lists it as uncharacterized. The transcript has 3 exons. NCBI's taxonomy places the organism in Eukaryota, Viridiplantae, Streptophyta, Magnoliopsida, Brassicales, Brassicaceae. The record is from RefSeq and is a predicted model, not a curated record.
AAAAAAAACAGUUUUUCUCUUCAAUCCACGAUCCCCACUUCUCCUCUAUCUCAAAAACACGUUAUUUUCUCAACUAUAAAACUCUCGAGAGAUACACAACAAUCCUAUGGCUCUUAAAUAAGAUCAAAACAGAUAUAUGGAUUCCAAAUCCUUUUAGGGCUUUUAUUUCUCAGUCAAUUCUCAUGAAUCUCCAAGUAAAAAGGAGUCACAAGGCACAUGGAUCAUGGUUAGAUAUGGCGCACAACGGGUAGGUGGUUCCAGCGAAAUCAUCAAAGGUUGACAUGGUGAAGACAGAGAUCUUUCAAUGUGGAGGUUCAACAAACCAACAAUCAAUAAGAAGGUGUCAGAUAAAUUAUUCUACCAUGAUAUAAUGUGAUCGCUCGCUCUUCAAAGAAAAAUAUUGUAAUAUUAUCAUUCUAUGCUUGGAUCGUGACAAAGAUGAAACUUGAAGAUUAAGAACAACGAAUACUUAUCUUUGAAGAGAGGAAGAGUUUCUUUCAGUUAAUAAUAGUUACUACUUCUCUCUUCAAGCUUCAAGAAGAGUUUCUACAACCGAGGGAGAGAUAAUCGAGUAAUAAGAAUAAGUUACGUGAUGAGGAGAAAAUGUUGAGUUAAUGAAAUAUGUGCGAAAGCAAGUUAUUUUUUCUAUGUGCAAAAGGAUUAUAGAGAUUUUGGUUUUGCUUAACAAUGUUUUUUUUAUAAAUAUUAUUAGAUUCUACAUUGUAGUCUAUUCAAAGUUUAAGAAGUUUUACCUA